GCGGCGGCGACGGCAGCAGCGGCGGACCGGAGUCCGGCCUGAUCCUCACUGGGAGCAGCGCGAGCCGGCCGCGGGCCACCAUGUCGGCGCCGUCGGAGGAGGAGGAGUACGCGCGGCUGGUGAUGGAGGCUCAGCCCGAGUGGCUGCGCGCCGAGGUGAAGCGGCUCUCGCACGAGCUGGCCGAGACCACGCGCGAGAAGAUCCAGGCGGCCGAGUACGGGCUGGCGGUGCUGGAGGAGAAGCACCAGCUCAAGCUGCAGUUCGAGGAGCUCGAGGUGGAUUACGAGGCCAUCCGCGGCGAGAUGGAGCAGCUCAAGGAGGCGUUUGGACAGGCGCACACGAACCACAAGAAGGUGGCCGCAGACGGCGAGAGCCGGGAGGAAAGUCUAAUCCAGGAGUCAGCCUCCAAGGAGCAGUACUAUGUGCGCAAGGUGCUGGAGCUGCAAACGGAGCUGAAGCAGCUGCGGAACGUGCUCACCAACACGCAGUCGGAGAGCGAGCGCCUGGCGUCCGUGGCGCAGGAGCUGAAGGAGAUCAACCAGAACGUGGAGACCCAGCGUGGCCGCCUGCGGGACGACAUCAAGGAGUACAAGUUCCGAGAGGCCCGCCUGCUGCAGGACUGCUCGGAGCUGGAGGAGGAGAACAUCAGCCUGCAGAAGCAGGUGUCCGUGCUCAGGCAGAGCCAGGUGGAGUUUGAGGGCCUCAAGCAUGAGAUCAAGCGUCUGGAGGAGGAGACGGAGUACCUCAACAGCCAGCUGGAGGACGCCAUCAGGCUCAAGGAGAUCUCGGAGCGGCAGCUGGAGGAGGCGCUUGAGACGCUGAAGACGGAGCGCGAGCAGAAGCUGAGUCUGCGCAAGGAGCUGUCGCACUACAUGAGCAUCAACGACUCCCUGUACACUAGCCACCUGCACGUCUCCCUGGACGGCCUCAAGCUCGGCGAUGACGCCGAAGCCCUGGCCAACGGCUUCGAGCACGCCGGCCUCGCCAAGCUGCCGCUGGACAACAGGACCUCCACGCCCUCCAAGGACGGCCUCGCCCCGCCCUCCCCCAGCCUGGUGUCCGACCUCCUCAGCGAGCUCAACAUCUCCGAGAUCCAGAAGCUGAAGCAGCAGCUGGUGCAGCUGGAGCGGGAGAAGGUAGGCCUGCUGACGACGCUGCAGGACACACAGAAGCAGCUGGAGCAGGCGCGGGGUGCCCUGUCAGAGCAGCACGAGGAGGUGAGCCGCCUCACGGAGAAGCUCAGUGCCCUGCGGCGCCUGCAGGCCGGCAAGGAGCGGCGGACGGCCCUGGACAGCGAGAAGGAGCGGGACAGCCAUGAGGAUGGUGACUACUACGAGGUGGACAUCAACGGGCCUGAGAUCCUGGCUUGCAAGUACCGCGUGGCCCUGGCAGAGGCCGGUGAGCUCCGCGAGCAGCUGAAAGCCCUGCGCAGCGCACACGAGGCCGGCGAGGCCCGGCACGCGGAGGAGAAGGGCCGGCAUGAGGCCGAGAGCCAGGCGCUCACCGAGAAGGUCUCCCUGCUGGAGAAGGCCGGCCGCCAGGACCGUGAGCUGCUGGCCCGGCUGCAGGCGGAGCUGAAGAAGGUGAGUGAUGUCGCAGGUGAGACGCAGGGCAGCCUGAGCGUGGCCCAGGACGAGCUGGUGACCUUUAGCGAGGAGCUGGCCAACCUCUACCACCACGUGUGCAUGUGCAACAAUGAGACGCCCACCCGUGUCGUGCUGGACUACUACCGAGAGGGCGCGGCCGGCGCCGGCCACUGCAGCCCCGAGGCCCGGGAGCGCCGCUCACCCGUCCUGCCCAAAGGACCGCCAGCCUCAGAGGCUGGGGCGGGGGACAGCAGCCCCUCGCCCAGCCCUUCCCUGCCCUCGCCCCUGAGUGACCCACGGCGGGAGCCCAUGAACAUCUACAACCUGAUCGCCAUCAUCCGAGACCAGAUCAGGCACCUGCAGGCGGCCGUGGACCGCACCACGGAGCUGUCGCGGCAGCGCCUGGCCUCCCAGGAGCUGGGCCCUGCCUCGGAUAAGGACCGGGAGGCACUCAUGGAGGAGAUCCUCAAGUUGAAGUCUCUGCUGAGCACCAAGCGGGAGCAGAUCACCACGCUGCGCACGGUGCUCAAGGCCAACAAGCAGACGGCCGAGGUGGCCCUGGCCAACCUGAAGAGCAAGUACGAGAAUGAGAAGGCCAUGGUGACCGAGACCAUGAUGAAGCUGCGUAACGAGUUAAAGGCCCUCAAGGAGGACGCGGCCACCUUCUCCUCACUGCGAGCCAUGUUUGCCACCAGGUGUGACGAGUACAUCACGCAGCUGGACGAGAUGCAGCGGCAGCUGGCCGCCGCCGAGGACGAGAAGAAGACGCUUAACUCCCUGCUGCGCAUGGCCAUCCAGCAGAAGCUGGCGCUGACCCAGCGGCUGGAGCUGCUCGAGCUGGACCAUGAGCAGACCCGGCGAGGCCGCGCCAAGGCCACCUCCAAGGCCAAGCCGGGCACCCCGAGCGUAAGUCACACCUGCGCCUGCGCCAGCGACAGGGCUGAGGGCGCCGGGCUCACCACCCCGGUGCUCUGCGGCGAGAAGUAUAACAUUUACUGUGAUUAGGGCCACGGGGCCGCCGCUGCCGCUACCCUGCCGCACGCCACCUGUCUGCUUCACCUCCACUAACCCAGCAGCAGCGGGACCGCGGUGCUAGGCGGGUCUUAACCGUGACUAAUGCGCAGAGGGAAGGAUUUGGCCGAGGCGGCGUGCUGUUCUACCUGGACCCUGUGAGCUUGGUGUCUGUUCUCAGCCCUCGGGACCACCCUUCAUAGCAGCUACUCUCUCGGUGGGGGGAGGGGGUCUCCUUGCAAAAACAUGGCUUUCCAGGGCCUGUGCGCCGUUGGCUCCUGCAGGAGGAGGGGACAGAGCCGGAAUUGGACUUGCAUGUUCCCUGCACGUGUCUAAUGUGCGGCGGCGCCGGCACCAGCAGCAGCGUUCGAGGUUCCGGCCCGAGUGCAAGGCGUGGCCUCGGUGGAUGCGUGUGGCUUGGCACAGUUUACAGAGACAAUUCCUUUGUAGUUUGUGCACGUCGCAUUUGGGACAGAAUCCCCUCCCCAGCCCUGCAUCCUCCAGCACAGGUGCCUGUGUGCGGGGGCCCUGCUCACACCCGCGUGGCUCAGACACGGCUGCCACACCCGAGACCAGGGCUCUGCAGGCUCAGCCUCUCUGAGAUCUGCAUGCCUGUCUGGUGGCCUGUGAGGGGACAUAUUGGCGGGUCCCAGGCCUGGGGUUUGUUGUUUUUGUUCCAUGAGAAAAACUUCUUAAGUGCCUGGCCAGACUCUGUCCUCACAGGCAGCCCAUCUUUUUAUACUUAGGGCCUCCCCGGCCUCCCAGGUGGGUUUUCCACCCUCUGCUCGUGAUCAGGGCCCAGCCCCACUUGGGAAGGGGGCCUCGCCUGGGCCCAGGCCUGUUUGGGACCCCACAGCAGACUCCAGGCGCCGUGAGGACCACCUUGGAUCUGGUCAACUGCUGGAGCAGGAAGAGUGGGCCAGGCCGCUCUGCUGACGGGAUGUCGGGUGUCAAGGCCCCUCCCACUUGAGGAGGGGUCUACCGGGGGCCUGGCUGCCCGCUGGCCCCACACAUCGCUUCCACCCUCUGCCGAGCCUGGCACGCAGCUUCUAUCCAUACUUGCAGGGGUCUCCCCAAGGCACGGCCCCCCUAACCCAUGCAGGUCUUCUCCGCUGCCGACUAACGCACCGCGUCCUCGCCCGGCCAGACCUUCGGUGGUCGGGCCGCUGCCGGUUCUAACGCUGUCUUGUUUUCUCCCGUUUUCAGCUGUAGAGUAGCUGCCGGGAGGACUCGGCCGCGGCCCUGUCACACUGCAGCCCCUCCCCCUCCCGCGGGCCCGCGCAGAGGAAGGAAGGGCAGCCUAAAAGUCCACUUAGAAACCUGUUUGGAUAUGCCACUGCAGUUCUUUCCAAAUUAGCAUUCCCUGAGUGUUUAAUGGCAGAGGACAUAAAGCUUUAAUGUUGAGAAUGCCGCCAGCUGCUGCCUGGAGGGCCUCUGUACGGCGCUGAAGAACCGGCUCGGACAGCGGCCAUCAGGCUCGCUUAGAACCCGCUAGAAACGCUCAACACUGGGGUCUCCCUGUUACAGAUGCCCUUUUUUAUCCGAUCAACCUGUGCACUUUUGAUAUUUUGAUAUUAUUAUAUUUGCUUCCUUAAUCCCUCCCGUAGAGACGGUCUCAGCUGCCGUGGUCUGUCCCGUGGUCCUGUAGCGCUCCGUCUUAGCUCCUGCCGUGUCGAUCUGGCGUCAGCACGUGGCACGGACGUGUUUCCCAGCGUGUAGCUCUAGACUGUUUCGGUGAAGGCCUCGACCCGGCAAGGAGCCCAGCCAGUCGCAGCCGCGCUGCGGUUCAGCAGCCUUUCAGGUUAUGCGGCUUUAUGGUUCACGUGCGAGGUUACAGAUUUUAAAUGCCAUGUUCAUUAAGAAAUCCAGGGUAUUCCAAUUCUGGGGUUUUUCAUAUUGUAUUAUUAUUAUUCUUAGGAAUAGUUCAAUGUAACAAGAAGAAAACUUGACCUUUGCUCUGGUUAAACAGUAAUAGGCACUUGAAAACAAAAAGAUAAAUUAUUGAAUGAGUAGUAUUACCUACAAACUCCAGAAUCUUCUGGGUUUUAGGACAUUGUGAAGCAUGACUGAUUAACAGAAUUUUAUACAACUGUACCAGUGAAAUUCCAAAUUGGAAUUGUUUUGUUACUCUGGUUGUUGUGCCGGAUUGUGGCGCACUUAGAAAAUCCUACAGCCGUCGGUUUCUAGGGUGUUCUGUCUCAACGCCUUUUUGUUAGUAAUCCUUGCCAGUAGUGCCUUCAUCAGUUACGGGAGGUGUCCCAGCGCAGUUCGUGCUCUGAAAUGGACAGUGAAGAGCUAGUUGGGAAUGUUGAAGGCCAGCGUGGACAGGAGGUGUGAGCGGGCACGCACCUUCACACCUGAGCCUGGGCAUCCUCGUUGAGGGAAAGAAAACAGCAAUUGUGCAAAAUUCUGUUAGUCAGUGAUUCUUUACUGUGCAGAUCCUGGCAAAUUCAGGGGCUGAGAAAAGGAAAGUGAACACACACCUUGAGUGUGCUUUGGGAACCAAAUGGACUUGAGGGACAAGCUAAGCCAGCGGUGUGAACGACACGCCACGUUUGCGAAGAGCGGGCGGCAGUCGUGCAGGGGUGAGGGCUAGCCGUAGUAUUCUUUGCAAAUGUGAGGAAGAGACGUUGUGUAUUCUCUCGCUUGGUGUAACUAAUCACUGUUAAUUUCAGGAAACAGAACUCGGUGAAGCCCCUCAGCAGCCCAGGGCUGCGUCCCGUCGGGUUCGCUGAGUGAGGCUGUGCUGACGGUAGAAUUGGUACUCGCAGAGGAAGAAAGUGUCCUCUCUCCUCCAAAAUAAAGGACAAAUUAUAAUAAUAUAUAAGUAGCAAGAGUCAAAGAAUUCUGUUUCCUGGAAUAAGCAUUUCUUAUUCCUAGUUGUAGGGACCCCUACUUUUACCUUCCGUUACAGUGUUGGUCCAUAAGAAAUAAUGUUACAUUUACAAUAACUUCACCUGUAUGGGGUAUUUAUUUGCAAUGAUGUCUGAGUACUGUAUUUUUUCUGUGCAUUACCUUAGUGUCAGAAUGUUGUCUUUAUUUUAAGAUCAUAUGCAUGUUCUCCUGCCAAGGAACCUUUACACAGACCCAAACAAACAAACAAACAAACAAACACAAAUGCCUUCUAAUUCUGAGAACGUGAGGCAGAGCGUGGAAAAGGAGUAGGAAGGAGCAGCCAGUCUCGACUUGGGACAUGGGUGUCCGGCGCAAAUGUCUGCAAAGCCAGUGCACAUAGGAACAUGGGCCUGGUAAGGGUCACGUGGUAGGACCAAUAAAUAAAGAAUAAUAAAAAGCACAA
Hyaena hyaena (striped hyena) is the source of this 5895-nucleotide RNA transcript. It is a transcript of the gene named BICD cargo adaptor 2, with no coding region annotated. The transcript is spliced from 8 exons. Lineage: Eukaryota; Metazoa; Chordata; Mammalia; Carnivora; Hyaenidae. The record is from RefSeq and is a predicted model, not a curated record.